This 347-nucleotide ribosomal RNA is filed under the name uncultured bacterium. Its description in RNAcentral is "partial 16S ribosomal RNA". It matches the Rfam family "Bacterial small subunit ribosomal RNA", at positions 338 to 696 of the family's 1533-position model. The record is from RNAcentral.
UCUACGGGUGGCAGCAGUCGAGAAUCAUUCACAAUGGGGGAAACCCUGAUGGUGCGACGCCGCGUGGGGGAAUGAAGGUCUUCGGAUUGUAAACCCCUGUCAUGUGGGAGCAAAUUACAAAGAUAGUACCACAAGAGGAAGAGACGGCUAAAUCUGGGCCAGCAGCCGCGGUAAUACAGAGGUCUCAAGCGUUGUUCGGAAUCACUGGGCGUAAAGCGUGCGUAGGCUGUUUCGUAAGUCGAGUGUGAAAGGCGCGGGCUCAACCCGCGGACCGCACCUGAUACUGCGAGACUAGAGUAAUGGAGGGGGAAGCGGAAUUCGUGGUGGAGCAGUGAAAUGCGUAGAUA